Molecule: long non-coding RNA, 895 nt
Organism: Crotalus tigris (Tiger rattlesnake)
Lineage: Eukaryota; Metazoa; Chordata; Lepidosauria; Squamata; Viperidae
Exons: 3
Source: RefSeq, a predicted model, not a curated record
CCCACCCCGGGCGCGGCGUCGCCCCGAAGAAGCGCCGCUUCCUCUUCCUCGCUCCGCCGAUUUCGGGAUAUUCUCGGAGGCGCUCGCGCGCACGCUCGUGUUCACACACACACACACAUACACACACAGAGAGAGAGAGGGAGGGAGGGAAAGAGAGAACACACAAAUCUCUCUCAGCGCGCACAGGCCCCUCCUCUACUUCAUCACCAAAGCCCUCUUCCUUCGGAGAAAGCAGCAACAGCCGCCCCGGGGGUGGCGGGCGGAGACGGACUGAGCCGCCCUCCUCCUCCUCUUCUUCUUCUUCCCCCCUCCCCCUCCCCUCCCCUCCCUCCCCUCGCCUUGCCUUUCCCGGCACCGCCCCACCUCGCUAGCCUCUCACCCCGCGCCCAUCUGCCUCUCCGAGGGAUCCCAACCCGGACCUGCCGCCCCUCCUCUUCCAAGGAUCGCAGAUUGGGACCUGCCGCUCCCCCCCCCCUCGCUCCCUCCCUUUUCCCGCUGCCUGGCGAGAUCUCGUCCUCCUUCCGGCUGGGAUCCCUUCAUCACCUAGACGGCUGUCCCUCUUCCGUCGCUCCCGCAGCCUCCCGGGCGGCUCUUCCUAGCCUGGGCACUGCCCCCGGGAUGCCUCCGCUUUGGGGGAAACCUCGCUGAUCUGCAGCUCUGCCCAGCCGCCUCUGGGGACGCCGACCAGGCGCCUCCUGCUCGCCUGGAAGAUCCGGCACCUUGGACAGCGCCCCAGGGCUGAAAAUAUAAACCAAGACCUGGAUCUGGAAAGUCCCACCUGCGUGGCUGGGGAAGGAUGGUUCGAAGGAAAAAGAUGCCACUUCUCUUUGUGCUGAGUUUUCUGGUGAUAUCACAACCUGGCCAUGGAGCAGUCCAUCUGAACAUCACAGAAGGU